UUUCUGAUUUAAACGUUGUUCAGUGUUGGGAGUUGUACAUCAGUCAUAGCCAAACCAACUCCGUGUAGGUGUAGUUAAACUCCGCCCACAGAAGAAACGCAUUUAACUUUUUCGGUGAAGGACGAGCUAUCACCGUUUCCCUCCACUCGUGCAGCUCUACACGUUUAACAUACAGAGGCCACAGGGGUCCAAAAAGGUGUCGCAGCGUGCUGUAUCUGAUGUCUGUGUUAAUGAACCAGGUAGAAAUGUUGAUGUCCUCUCCACCUUCCCAAGGUUCCUGGAUACAAAAGGAUUGACUAUAUUUGUUCCCGAAGCCAAGGCUCUCUGAUGGGGAAACAACCUACAAGAAACUGCCUCCCUGUUGUUGCUGAUACAUCUUCUUUCACCACCACCACCUGGGGGACCGAAGUCUCCAAAAACUAUUAAGCCAUGCUACAGUUUGGAGGAUCAUCUCGGCGACCGUACCUCCUCGCCGUUUGGGGGCGUCAGAAGAACUGGAUCGACAGCUUCUACAUCACCAUGGAUAAGCAUCUCUUUUGAUGCCAGGCAAACCGCUCCCUGAAGCCACUUGAUGAACAUUUCAAAGCACAUUUUGCCUUUAAUUUGUGUGAUUUAUAUGACGAUAGGAUUGUGCAUUGUUUCACACAUGAAAAUGCAAAAAUAAAUGUUAUUUUUGAAAAUGA
Dicentrarchus labrax (European seabass) is the source of this 683-nucleotide long non-coding RNA. RefSeq lists it as uncharacterized. The transcript has 5 exons. The record is from RefSeq and is a predicted model, not a curated record. Lineage: Eukaryota; Metazoa; Chordata; Actinopteri; Moronidae.